This 89-nucleotide transfer RNA is filed under the name Scardovia inopinata F0304. Its description in RNAcentral is "tRNA-Ser". It matches the Rfam family "tRNA". Rfam says of the family: Transfer RNA (tRNA) molecules are approximately 80 nucleotides in length. Their secondary structure includes four short double-helical elements and three loops (D, anti-codon, and T loops). Further hydrogen bonds mediate the characteristic L-shaped molecular structure. tRNAs have two regions of fundamental functional importance: the anti-codon, which is responsible for specific mRNA codon recognition, and the 3' end, to which the tRNAs corresponding amino acid is attached (by aminoacyl-tRNA synthetases). tRNAs cope with the degeneracy of the genetic code in two manners: having more than one tRNA (with a specific anti-codon) for a particular amino acid; and 'wobble' base-pairing, i.e. permitting non-standard base-pairing at the 3rd anti-codon position. The record is from RNAcentral. RNAcentral also lists the same sequence under 1 other name. Lineage: Bacteria; Bacillati; Actinomycetota; Actinomycetes; Bifidobacteriales; Bifidobacteriaceae.
GGAUGAUUGUCCGAGCGGUCGAAGGAGCACGACUCGAAAUCGUGUGAGGCUCAAUACCUCCGUGAGUUCGAAUCUCACAUCAUCCGCCU